RNAcentral lists this ribosomal RNA (274 nucleotides) under uncultured bacterium. RNAcentral describes it as "partial 16S ribosomal RNA". It matches the Rfam family "Bacterial small subunit ribosomal RNA", at positions 523 to 796 of the family's 1533-position model. The record is from RNAcentral.
AUACGGAGGGGGCUAGCGUUGUUCGGAAUUACUGGGCGUAAAGCGCGUGUAGGCGGAUCGUUAAGUCAGGGGUGAAAGCCCGGAGCUCAACUCCGGAAUUGCCCUUGAUACUGGCGGUCUAGAGGCCGGGAGAGGUGAGCGGAAUUCCCAGUGUAGAGGUGAAAUUCGUAGAUAUUGGGAGGAACACCAGUGGCGAAGGCGGCUCACUGGCCCGGUUCUGACGCUGAGACGCGAAAGCGUGGGGAGCAAACAGGAUUAGAUACCCCAGUAGUCC